UUUAAUUUACAGAUUAGCACUUGGCUGCAAUCAGACCUGCUAGCAAAUGAUGACGCAGCCUAAGAUGGGGCACGCUUGCCUAUA
Long non-coding RNA from Maniola jurtina (meadow brown), 84 nucleotides. RefSeq lists it as uncharacterized. The transcript has 3 exons. The record is from RefSeq and is a predicted model, not a curated record. NCBI's taxonomy places the organism in Eukaryota, Metazoa, Arthropoda, Insecta, Lepidoptera, Nymphalidae.